AACAAAAAAAGAAAACUUAAAAUCAGAUUUUAGAAGAAUUCAUGAACCCUAAUUCAUCUUCUAGUGAACCAUCGGAAAAACAAAAAUUCAUCAUCUUGCUCUCUUCAGCGGCAGCCUCGCCGGUGGUGGCUCGACCGCCGCGAUUCCUUCCUUUGCACCACCGUGUUCCAGCUUCAUUUUGAGCACGGGCCUCCUCCCUCGUUCCAGAUUCCUUCCUUUGAACCGCAAGUCCACCUCCGCCCCCAAACACAUCAUCCGCUGCAAGCCCUCUCCCUCGUCGCCGCAAGCCUCAUUUAUUGCACCUUCGCCACAAGCUCCUUUUGAUCUGACUAAAAUCACCUCCUCCGCCGUCGCAAGCACCUCCGCUGCAAGCCGUAAGUGUGUAUUUGGAGAUGAAGAGACUGCAGGAGUUAGAAGAAGUAGACUUAUUUUUUCUUGAAAUACCCUGUCAAUGAUUUUUCAUUCGUAUGGGCAGACCUUCAAUUGUGAGUGUCUUUCUCUUUCGUCUUCUGUAUUCUCCUUGUAGAGUCCCAAAUCUCAAGUAUAGUAGUAGUAGAUGUUGGAUCUGUUAUAUUAGUGCACUAGCUACAAGUUAGGAAUUCUGUUAGUUAUUUAAAUUAAACUGGUGUUUUUAGGAUGUGUUUAGCACGUUUUCUAAUUUAGUGGGUCAGUAGGAGUUAGUUGCAGUUUUCUCUGCUUUUCUGUUCCAGUAUUUUCUAUUGUUAGUUUGUAGGCUAUUUAAGCCAUGUCUUUGCAUUCAAUAAAGGGGUGUGAUUUUACAGUAGCAUACCUGUGCGUUCUUGUUUCUGUUUUAACAUUUGGUAUCAAGAGCUUUAGCAAGGGGGCCUGAUUGAGUGAUUAAACAGUGAAGUUUGAGGAGUGAAAACAAUAGUGUGAGAAAUGGCUGCUGAAUCAGGCAAUUUCACUACCCCAUGUGUUCCCAUAUUUGAUGGGGAUUAUGAUCAUUGGAGUUUGGUCAUGGAGAACCUGCUGCGUUCAAAAGAGUACUGGUGUGUAAUCCAAGAUUGGGUCUCUGGUGGAUGUUCAGAGCAGUGCUGAUCCUGAAGGGCUUCGCAUUUUCUACUAUCUUGUUCAGCAAUUGUCCUUUCUGAAAUCACUGUGUGAGUAUCACUAUAUGUGAUGCGGUAGUUGAUGGGAUCAACACAAAAGCAUUUCAGAAUGUCAUCUUCUACCUCAACUCAUGCAAAAGAUAUUCACUUUUACGAGUCAUAUAAUGCCAUCAGAUUAAAGAGACUUCUCCUGGAAGGGGUGGUUAUGUUAUAAACAUCUUGAUUGAAGUUUUCCAUCUUGAUUGAAGUUUCAAGAUUGAAAGUGCAAAGCUAAUGCGUGAAGAUAAUAUGUAGAAUAGGUUGAAUAUGAAUUAUCAAUUAUGUACUCUUACUGAAUAUGUACUAUUGAACUUCAGUAGUUGAACGAUGAUGUAACAAGUUUUGAUUGCAAUAAAACGAGACUUGAAUUUA
Long non-coding RNA from Lotus japonicus, 1481 nucleotides. RefSeq lists it as uncharacterized. NCBI's taxonomy places the organism in Eukaryota, Viridiplantae, Streptophyta, Magnoliopsida, Fabales, Fabaceae. The record is from RefSeq and is a predicted model, not a curated record. The transcript is spliced from 2 exons.